Molecule: transfer RNA, 65 nt
Filed under: Hemithyrsocera longiseta
Lineage: Eukaryota; Metazoa; Arthropoda; Insecta; Blattodea; Blattellidae
Description: tRNA-Pro
Source: RNAcentral
CAAGAAAUAGUUUAAUAAAAAUAUUAGUUUUGGGAAUUAAUGAAAGAUAUAGUAUCUUUUCUUGA